UCAUAAUUCAUAAGAAUUUCAAUUAAAAUAAUAAUUACAAAUAAACAAAAAGGAAAUCUUAUUGGCUACUGCUCAAACAUUUAAAUGCUCAUUUCGCUGACACCUCGCCAGAAAAAUCUUCAUACCAAGCAACCGCCAUCUAUCUUUUUCCUCCCCUCCGCCAAAUUAUACCGCCAUAAUCCCUAAUUCCGACGACAAACCACCGCCACCGGCGACUCAAAUGCAAAGAAAUUGGUGAGCUUUAACAUCAGAUUCGAGUCUCGAACUUCCGACGAUGUCUUCGCAGAAACGCUCUUCUCCGAUCUCAGCUUCCCCGGCGGCGAGUCCCGGCGCCGAUCUCAAGCAACGAGUCAUAGCCUGCCUGAACAAGCUCUCCGACCGGGACACACUCGCCGUC
RNAcentral lists this long non-coding RNA (397 nucleotides) under Linum usitatissimum (flax). RNAcentral describes it as "long non-coding RNA (LUSI_LNC001429)". The record is from RNAcentral. Lineage: Eukaryota; Viridiplantae; Streptophyta; Magnoliopsida; Malpighiales; Linaceae.